CGCACAGUGGCCUUCCCACAGACAGCCUGGGCGGGGGCAGGCCUGAGGGGCUGGCACAGAGCUGGCGACACCUACGUGGCCCGCCACUGCAUCCAGCACCGCGUCUCAGGGACCCUAUGAGAGCAGAGCCAGCCGCUCAGCACCCAGCCUCGGGGUCCCCACGAGAACACCAAGGUCGCUCAGCUCCCAGCUCCCCCGGGCCGGGUCCUCCUGGUGAGCGAGCCCGAGCCUGUGUGCGGCAGAGGCUUCCUCUUCCGAGUCCUGUUCAACUAAAGCAGAGGAUAGCGGCAAAGGAGCCGGUGCCCCUCACCCUGGCUCCGGUGCCCUGCUCAGUCACCACACCAAGUGCCUGCACUGCGGGAGGGGUGGCUGGCGGGGGACACCCCUGCCCGCAGCUCUGAGCCAAGGCCACUUCUCAACACCCACCUGGCUCCUGGGAGUGGCGGCUGGUGACAGCCUCUGCUACCAGUGGAGUCACACGAGGAGAGGCCACCGUGUGCUCGGAUCCAGAGCACGGAAACCCCAGCCUCCUGCAGCCAAAGCUCAUCCAGCAGUGAGCACGUGACUGGAGCACAUGCGUGUGGCUCGUGACAGCCACAUGCAGGGUGACCAGGGGCAAUCAGGACGGGCGAGAGCCAGCAGCUCCCAACUGACAUGGACACACAUUGGAGCUUCGUGUCUGUGCAGUCACCCAGGGUUGUGCACACAGGUGUCUGCAGCACAGUGCACUGCGAGAGGGCGCCUCCUGCAGGCGACGGCUCCACAGACUGACCACGCCACGGAGGAGGAGCUUUGGUGAAACCCACUCACACUGCAAGGAAAAGGGAACCUGAAAGCAACACCAGAAUAUUAUGAGAAACAAAUCUAUGUCGUGUUGCGCACACUUCACCUGUCAGCACUCGAGUGCAAGAUUAAAACACUGACGUGGA
Molecule: non-coding RNA, 929 nt
Organism: Heterocephalus glaber (naked mole-rat)
Lineage: Eukaryota; Metazoa; Chordata; Mammalia; Rodentia; Bathyergidae
Source: RefSeq, a predicted model, not a curated record